This 69-nucleotide transfer RNA is filed under the name Zenarchopterus buffonis (Buffon's river-garfish). RNAcentral describes it as "tRNA-Glu". It matches the Rfam family "tRNA". Rfam says of the family: Transfer RNA (tRNA) molecules are approximately 80 nucleotides in length. Their secondary structure includes four short double-helical elements and three loops (D, anti-codon, and T loops). Lineage: Eukaryota; Metazoa; Chordata; Actinopteri; Beloniformes; Zenarchopteridae. The record is from RNAcentral.
GUUUCUGUAGUUGAAGUACAACGGUGGUUUUUCAAAUCAUUAAUUUUGGUUAGAGUCCAGGCAGAAAUU